UUUAAAUCUUAAUGCAGGCAAGGUUGGUCGUAGAUCAGGUUGAAUCAGUCUUUUUCGCCACAUCGCGUAUAAGGGGAAUCGAACCCCCUCUGCUGCUGGCGGGCGGAUGGAGAAUGUCCUACUUCGAUCCAGCAACUUUACUUGUUAGGUUUUGGCUUGCCCCUUUCAACUUUUUAGUAAGAUAGCCCUCUGAAGAUCUACGAGCAACCUGAUUUACAAUCAGCCUGCUUAAGCCUAAGAUUGUAGGGGAGCACCCUGAUUUACAAUCAACCUGAUCGUAGAGCACUUCUGAUCAAAGAUCAGCCUGAUCGUAGACCACCCUUCGCCUUUGAAUAAUAAUAAGGGCGUUAAGCCAAAGCUCCUUCCUUCAGCCGGUGCACAGGAGUGCACUUCCGUUUUCCCCUUACUAGUAAAGGGGGUGUAAUGAAUAGAAAUCUCUCGCCAGCAGUCUUCUUUUCCUAUCACUUCACUUCGUUCGAGAGAUCUGAUCUCCAUUGGACCUCACCGGGCCGGGCGAAGGGGAAGGAAGGGAUGGGUGGUCCGGGAACAGCAACGGGAGAGGGCUCGUAGCCCCCCCUCUCCCUCUUCCCCACACCUAUUUGUUCCCCGGGCCCCAGAGAGAUGCGGAACUCUUUUUUCUUUUUCUUAAAAAAGAUGAAUAGAUAGGGCCAUGAUACAUUCCGGAAUAUUGUAAAGGUAAAUAGACUCUUUUCGCCCUCUUUUCGAUGCGGACCUAUGUGAAUGUUUUGGAAUGGGGAUGUUCGCCUUUUGUAACAAGUAGACCCACGAUACGGACUAAUAGAUGUUUCUACUCUUACCCGUAAGUAAGAUCUAUUCAUAGUUGGUCAGUCCCCCACGGCACGGCUUCUCGCUUUUCAUGAAUGUGUCUCCCUCUCUGCUUAUGUGAGUUUGACCCGCCUUUGACUCUGCUUGCUUCUGACUCCCUAUGAGUUUUUACGACUUGACUUUUUCGGAGGGUCGGUGGGACAUGGGAGCCUCAGCUCAUGCAUCAGUUUACCGAAAUCACCUCCGCUAUCCCACUUCCUUCUAUUCAAAAGGCGAGCAGCCCUUAAACAAAAAGGCUCUAAGAGGGCUCUUCUUUAUAUAUUACAUAAGCCCUAAAGUAGGUAACCCCGAAAGCCGAACUCAGCAACUUUACUUGUUAGGUUUUGGCUUGCCCCUUUCAACUUUUUAGUAAGAUAGCCCUCUGAAGAUCUACGAGCAACCUGAUUUACAAUCAACCUGCUUAAGCCUAAGAUUGUAGGGGAGCACCCUGAUUUACAAUCAGCCUGAUCGUAGAGCAACCUUUCUAUGUUAUUAGUAAAGCGCUAACGCCCUAUCUAUAGUAAGGGGCCUUUUCAAUAAGGCUCGCGUAGGGGCCUUUUUUGGCUCCCUUCGCUCCACUAGCCUUGAUUGGCGGAUGGAAGUACCAAGGUGCGUCUGGUGGUAUCGUAUAUAAGAUCACUGCUGCAUUUAGGAGUG
This 1482-nucleotide long non-coding RNA is filed under the name Vitis vinifera (wine grape). RNAcentral describes it as "long non-coding RNA (VVIN_LNC007659)". The record is from RNAcentral. Lineage: Eukaryota; Viridiplantae; Streptophyta; Magnoliopsida; Vitales; Vitaceae.